Molecule: ribosomal RNA, 1848 nt
Filed under: Triticum aestivum (bread wheat)
Lineage: Eukaryota; Viridiplantae; Streptophyta; Magnoliopsida; Poales; Poaceae
Description: partial small subunit ribosomal RNA
Source: RNAcentral
AUGGUUCCAAAGAAAGAUGAUGGAGCAAUGCUUGCCUGGGCCAUCAAAGUGCCAAAAUGUGUCAGGCCCGCAAUACUGAAGAAGCUCUGUGCAAACCUAGAGAAGCUCAGAUCUCCUGACAGUGCACAUGUUCAGCCAGACAAUCGUAAGAGAAUUCAUGAGGAGCAAGGUCACUUUCUUCCCAAGGCCAUCACAUCACUGUCCGAUGCUGACAGUGAGCGAAUGAAGCAGUACGGUUGGGCCUGCUACGAUCUACCUACGUGCUCACAUGUAAUUCUGGUGUGGCACAUUGCAACCAGCCUCUGUGAGAUGAAGCUUGCUCAAGACCAUAAUGUCGACUUAAGCAAACAUGGGUUGCUGAACUCCGUCUUGUCAUACUUCGCAAGUUGCUGCACAUUGAAACCAUAUCUUUUGGAUGUGGAUGAGAAGACGAAAGAAAAGAAGAAAGUGAAUGAGAAGUUGCCUCACAAGCUCCAGGAAAUGUACAUCACUGCGAAUAGCUUGUCUCGAUAUUGUGCAUAUCUGCUAGUUUCAAAGCCCGACCUGAUCCCUGACAGCUUUUAUGUACCCAAGAUGGUCUUACAAGAAACCGUGGCGCACGCUCGUGAUCAUAUUCUUAAAAACUGCGACUCAUUGCAGAGCAGGUAUGACAAACUGAUGGAAGAAGCAGUGAAGGCCAUUCAAGAUGCCGACAGCGUCAUGAAGAGUGAAGAUGUUGUGCGACUGGGCGCAAAGCUGGGCAAGGAACUGAUUGAUCAAGAGACUCAAGAAGAAUGCUGGGAGAUCCUGUCUGGGGUAUGGGCAGAUUUACUAGUGCACCUUGCCCCUACUUGGAACGCAGAGGCGCACAAGGAGUGCCUCGAGUCAGGAGGGGAAUUCAUAACCUAUAUCUGGGCACUGCUAUGGCAUUGUGGAAUCGAGAAGAGCAAACUAUGGCCAGUGGAAGGCGUGUGUGGAAAUGAUGCCCCUGGAACACCACCUGAGGACAACAGUGUUCGAAAUAAUAGCGUUCAGCAUUCCCAGCAGAGCUGUGUAGCAGGACCGAAGGAAGAAAGAGAGGAAGCUGACAUACAGAGACCAGAGAUCCAACAAGUUGAAACGCUAAGUGCAGAUACGGCUGGUCAUCCGAAUGGGCAAAGUGGCAAUGCGGCGGUUAGAGGGAUGCGGAAUGGAGGGAACACAUGUUACUUCAAUGCAGUGUUGCAGAGUCUCCUUGCACUUGAUAAGCUGCGUGCAAGGAUGUUAGGAUCGGAUGCUCUGACAGGGGACCUUGGUCAGGAACUGCAGAAGCUCUUCAUAAUAACAGCCAAUACCAAUGACACUGGAAGUGUGCUGACGCCAGAGAAGCUCUUCUCAUAUAUGUGCAAAAGGAAUUCAGAUUUCAGAACUGGCAUGAUGGAAGAUAGCAAUAAUAUGCUUGGUUCCUUGAUAGACGGUUUGAAGAAUGAGGAACGUACAAUGGUUGAGUCACUCUUCCGCAGUGAGGUCGUUAAACAUGUUCACAGCAAAAAGUGUGAGCACACAUCGGUUACCACCGGCUGCGAGUACCUUGAUCUCAGUUUGGCAAUACCACCAAACCGGCCUGCAUCAAUCGAGGAGUGCUUGGACUUCUAUGCCACUGGGGAGAUCGAGGAUUGGCACUGUAUGGACUGUUCAGCUGCUGCUGCUUCUUCUGGAAAUUCAUCUUUGAACCAAGAAGAUACAUCAGACUAUUAUCAUGGACAACCUGAACAGUCAGAGAACAAAACAUACGGAAAGGGGGAAUCCAGCCAUCAAGCUGACAAACAAACAAGAAUACCGAAUCAGAACAGCGGAAAGCCACCGAUGCUUGAUGGGAACUCAAGUCAA